Molecule: ribosomal RNA, 473 nt
Filed under: uncultured bacterium
Lineage: Bacteria
Description: bacterial SSU rRNA
Rfam family: Bacterial small subunit ribosomal RNA
Source: RNAcentral
UGGGGAAUUUUGGACAAUGGGGGCAACCCUGAUCCAGCCAUGCCGCGUGAGUGAAGAAGGCCUUCGGGUUGUAAAGCUCUUUCGGCGGGGACGAAACGGUCCGUGACAACACCACGGACUAAUGACAGUACUCGCAGAAGAAGCACCGGCUAACUACGUACCAGCAGCCGCGGUAAUACGUAGGGUGCAGGCGUUAAUCGGAAUUACUGGGCGUAAAGCGUGCGCAGGCGGCUCCUUAAGUCAGAUGUGAAAUCCCCGGGCUUAACCUGGGAACUGCGUUUGAAACUGAGGGGCUAGAGUGUGGAAGAGGGGGGUGGAAUUCCAGGUGUAGCAGUGAAAUGCGUAGAGAUCUGGAGGAACACCGAUGGCGAAGGCAGCCCCCUGGGCUAACACUGACGCUCAUGCACGAAAGCGUGGGGAGCAAACAGGAUUAGAUACCCCCGUAGUCCCCUGAGCGGGCUGGCAAGGCGCAU